GUACUGAUGAUGAGUCCCAACUAGGAUGAAACAGCUGUCCAGUAC
Non-coding RNA from Trichobilharzia regenti, 45 nucleotides. The record is from Rfam. Lineage: Eukaryota; Metazoa; Platyhelminthes; Trematoda; Strigeidida; Schistosomatidae.